AAGGGCACCACAAGAACGCGUGGAGCAUGUGGCUUAAUUUGACUCAACGCGAGAAAUCUUACCGGGUCCGGACACUUAUAAGAUUGACAUAAACUAUUUCGUGAUAAAUACGAUUUAAAUAUUCGUUACAUCAUGAUUAAGUGAACAGUGGUGCAUGGCCGUUCUUAGUUCGUGAAGUGAUUUGUCUGCUUAAUUGCAUUUCGUGAGUGGACCUUUCUGUUUCUAAAAGAGUAUUAGGAAUAUGUCUUUCUUGGGUCCCGAAGGCAACGAGCGUGACCAUAUUCUUUAGUUAAUAUUUUUAAAACCUUUUGUGUUUUAAGUGAAAUAACUAAAGAGACAGCUGUGAUAUUUAUUCAACCAGAGGAAGGUUGUGGUAAUAACAGGUCUGUGAUGCCCUCUAAUGUCCCGGGCUGCACACGUGCUACAAUGAUUAUUGCAGUUAGCACUAUAAUAACAGUCCCUACUGUGAAAGCUAGUAGGUAAACAUGUUAGUAAUGAUUUCGUCGCGAGCAUAUACAUGUAUCUAAACUUUUUUAGAUACUGCUCUCUUUAAUUCAAAGUGGGGACAGACCAUUGAAAUUGUUGGUCUCGGUCUUAACUAGGAAUGCCUUGUACAGGUUUUGGUUCAACAAACCACCUGGAAUACGUCCCUGUCCUUUGUACACACCGCCCGUC
This 675-nucleotide ribosomal RNA is filed under the name Psammina sp. 1 MH-2016. RNAcentral describes it as "bacterial SSU rRNA". It matches the Rfam family "Eukaryotic small subunit ribosomal RNA", at positions 1160 to 1677 of the family's 1831-position model. RNAcentral also lists the same sequence under 1 other name. The record is from RNAcentral. Lineage: Eukaryota; Foraminifera; Psamminidae.